Struthio camelus australis is the source of this 511-nucleotide long non-coding RNA. NCBI's taxonomy places the organism in Eukaryota, Metazoa, Chordata, Aves, Struthioniformes, Struthionidae. The record is from Ensembl.
UUCCCCAGAUGCAGCUUCAGCAAAAAUAACGUGAAAAAUGUAUUUUCUGUUUACCAGGGCAUCAGCCCUUCAACUUCAUUGACGUUGUCGUCCACCACCACUGCUUUCUUCACAAAAACAAUUACCAGAACACUUCCUCUAAAGGAGAAAGUGCACUUAGUUGAUGCGAAAGCCCAGCAUCUGCCAAACGUCAACAAACAGUCUCAAAGAAUAAAAGAUCUGGAGAUCCAACUGCUGCAAGUGGAGUGCGAAGAACUCAAAAAUCAGCUAGGAUGCUUAAGGGAAGGGCUGAUGGGGCAGAAGCCAAGUGAUACGGAGGAAUUAUUGAAACAAUCUCAAAAAGAGCUACUGUGGCUUCAGAGACAGCUGUCCUUUAUCUCAUCAGGUGGCCCUAUGUGUGUUUUGGCAGCUAGCAAGGUGAGUGAUUUUUUUUUUUUUUUUGGUCUUGCUUCACUGUACAAAGUAGAAUUAGAAAGGGGAGGGUUUACCCUCAUCUUCGCUUGUUUUAGUG